Molecule: ribosomal RNA, 491 nt
Filed under: uncultured bacterium
Lineage: Bacteria
Description: bacterial SSU rRNA
Rfam family: Bacterial small subunit ribosomal RNA
Source: RNAcentral
CCUGGCUCAGAUUGAACGCUGGCGGCAUGCCUUACACAUGCAAGUCGAACGGCAGCGGACCUUCGGGUGCCGGCGAGUGGCGAACGGGUGAGUAAUAUAUCGGAACGUACCUUCAGUGGGGGAUAACGUAGCGAAAGUUACGCUAAUACCGCAUAUUCUGUGAGCAGGAAAGCAGGGGAUCGCAAGACCUUGCGCUGAUUGAGCGGCCGAUAUCAGAUUAGCUAGUUGGUGAGGUAAAGGCUCACCAAGGCGACGAUCUGUAGCGGGUCUGAGAGGAUGAUCCGCCACACUGGAACUGAGACACGGUCCAGACUCCUACGGGAGGCAGCAGUGGGGAAUUUUGGACAAUGGGCGCAAGCCUGAUCCAGCCAUGCCGCGUGAGUGAAGAAGGCCUUCGGGUUGUAAAGCUCUUUCGGCCGGGAAGAAAUCGCACAGGUUAAUACCCUGUGUGGAUGACGGUACCGGAAUAAGAAGCACCGGCUAACUACGUG